UACAGAGGGGGCAAGCGUUGUUCGGAAUUACUGGGCGUAAAGGGCGCGUAGGCGGCCGCCUAAGUCAGACGUGAAAUCCCUCGGCUCAACCGGGGAACUGCGUCUGAUACUGGGUGGCUUGAAUUCGGGAGAGGGAUGCGGAAUUCCAGGUGUAGCGGUGAAAUGCGUAGAUAUCUGGAGGAACACCGGUGGCGAAGGCGGCAUCCUGGACCGGUAUUGACGCUGAGGCGCGAAAGCUAGGGGAGCAAACGGG
RNAcentral lists this ribosomal RNA (253 nucleotides) under uncultured bacterium. RNAcentral describes it as "partial 16S ribosomal RNA". It matches the Rfam family "Bacterial small subunit ribosomal RNA", at positions 524 to 776 of the family's 1533-position model. The record is from RNAcentral.